RNAcentral lists this ribosomal RNA (350 nucleotides) under uncultured bacterium. RNAcentral's name for it is "bacterial SSU rRNA". It matches the Rfam family "Bacterial small subunit ribosomal RNA", at positions 9 to 356 of the family's 1533-position model. The record is from RNAcentral.
GAGUUUGAUCCUGGCUCAGGACGAACGCUGGCGGCGUGCUUAACACAUGCAAGUCGAGCGGUAAGGCUCCUUCGGGAGUACACGAGCGGCGAACGGGUGAGUAACACGUGAGCAAUCUGCCCUUCACAUCGGAAUAACUUCGGGAAACCGAAGCUAAUACCGAAUACGACCACCGAUGGCAUCAUCUGGUGGUGGAAAGUUCUGGCAGUGAAGGAUGAGCUCGCGGCCUAUCAGCUUGUUGGUGAGGUAAUGGCUCACCAAGGCGACGACGGGUAGCCGGCCUGAGAGGUAGUGACCGGCCACACUGGGACUGAGACACGGCCCAGACUCCUACUGUGGAGGCAGCAGUG